This 434-nucleotide ribosomal RNA is filed under the name uncultured bacterium. RNAcentral describes it as "bacterial SSU rRNA". It matches the Rfam family "Bacterial small subunit ribosomal RNA", at positions 29 to 507 of the family's 1533-position model. The record is from RNAcentral.
AACGAACGCUGGCGGCAGGCCUAACACAUGCAAGUCGAACGCCGUAGCAAUACGGAGUGGCAGACGGGUGAGUAACGCGUGGGAACCUACCUUACGGUCGGGAAUAGCUCAGGGAAACUUGGGGUAAUACCGGAUACGCCCUUACGGGAAAGAUUUAUCGCCGUUAGAUGGGCCCGCGUCGGAUUAGCUAGUUGGUGAGGUAACGGCUCACCAAGGCGACGAUCCGUAGCUGGUCUGAGAGGAUGAUCAGCCACACUGGGACUGAGACACGGCCCAGACUCCUACGGGAGGCAGCAGUGGGGAAUAUUGGACAAUGGGCGCAAGCCUGAUCCAGCCAUGCCGCGUGAGUGACGAAGGCCUUAGGGUUGUAAAGACUCUUUUGGUCGGGGAAGAUAAUGACGGUACCCGCAGAAUAAGCCCCGGCUAACUUCGUG